Molecule: long non-coding RNA, 369 nt
Organism: Thunnus maccoyii (southern bluefin tuna)
Lineage: Eukaryota; Metazoa; Chordata; Actinopteri; Scombriformes; Scombridae
Exons: 4
Source: RefSeq, a predicted model, not a curated record
GUGCGACAACAGUGCGACAACAUUGCGACGCAGUGUGAGUCCUGGAGCCGGGGAGAGCAGCAGCUCGGAUAAAGACGACAGGAGACUUCGCAAGGGAUGCUAACUUUUCAGAGACCAGCCGAGGCCUCGCAGGUCAUAAAACACGGAUUUAGAUGAAGGGAGGAGAGAGACUGAGACGUCUGCUGCAGUGGGAAGACAAAAGAAUUCAGAUUUCUUUUAAUACUCAUUUUUAGAGAAUAUUGGUGGAAACUUCUGGAAGCUGUGAUGAGUCGUUAUUGAAAGGAUUCACACUGAAAGCUCCAAUGAGACACAGAGAGUUGGUCCAGUCAGCUGGGAACUGAAGGAAAUCCUCCUUUAUUGAUCUGUCGC